Molecule: non-coding RNA, 86 nt
Organism: Crucibulum laeve
Lineage: Eukaryota; Fungi; Basidiomycota; Agaricomycetes; Agaricales; Nidulariaceae
Source: the annotation of a GenBank genome assembly
GGCCUGAUGGUCUAGUAGUAUGAUUCCUUGUUAGGGUCUUAACAGUCGUUUCGAGGAGGUCCUGGGUUCAAUUCCCAGUCAGGCCC